GUGCAGCAGGCGAGAAUCCUCCUCAAUGCACUCACGUGCGAAGGGGUUACCUCGAGUGCCGCCUGAAGAAGGCGGCUUUUCCAUGGUCUAAAAGCCUAGGGAAUAAGAGGGGGCAAGACUGGUGUCAGCCGCCGCGGUAACACCAGCCCCUCGAGUGGUGGGGAUGAUUAUUUGGCCUAAAGCGUCCGUAGCCGGCCGGGUAAGUCUCCCGUUAAAUCCAGCGUCUCAAGCGUUGGACUGCGGGAGAUACUGUCUGGCUAGAGAGUGGGAGAGGUGUACGGUAUUCUGGGGGUAGGGGCGAAAUCCUUUGAUCCCCGGAGGACCACCAGUGGCGAAGGCUGUACACUAGAACACGUCUGACGGUCAGGGACGAAAGCUGGGGUAGCGAACCGGAUUAGAUA
Molecule: ribosomal RNA, 401 nt
Filed under: uncultured microorganism
Description: bacterial SSU rRNA
Rfam family: Archaeal small subunit ribosomal RNA
Source: RNAcentral